CCUGGCUCAGGACGAACGCUGGCGGCGUGCCUAAUACAUGCAAGUCGAGCGGACCGAAUGGAAGCUUGCUUUCAUUCGGUUAGCGGCGGACGGGUGAGUAACACGUGGGUAACCUGCCCGUAAGACCGGGAUAACUCCGGGAAAC
This 145-nucleotide ribosomal RNA is filed under the name Parageobacillus toebii. RNAcentral describes it as "partial 16S ribosomal RNA". It matches the Rfam family "Bacterial small subunit ribosomal RNA", at positions 18 to 157 of the family's 1533-position model. Lineage: Bacteria; Bacillati; Bacillota; Bacilli; Caryophanales; Anoxybacillaceae. The record is from RNAcentral.